Molecule: ribosomal RNA, 567 nt
Filed under: uncultured Achromobacter sp.
Lineage: Bacteria; Pseudomonadati; Pseudomonadota; Betaproteobacteria; Burkholderiales; Alcaligenaceae
Description: bacterial SSU rRNA
Rfam family: Bacterial small subunit ribosomal RNA
Source: RNAcentral
GCGGCCGAUAUCGGAUUAGCUAGUUGGUGGGGUAACGGCUCACCAAGGCGACGAUCCGUAGCUGGUUUGAGAGGACGACCAGCCACACUGGGACUGAGACACGGCCCAGACUCCUACGGGAGGCAGCAGUGGGGAAUUUUGGACAAUGGGGGAAACCCUGAUCCAGCCAUCCCGCGUGUGCGAUGAAGGCCUUCGGGUUGUAAAGCACUUUUGGCAGGAAAGAAACGUCAUGGGUUAAUACCCCGUGAAACUGACGGUACCUGCAGAAUAAGCACCGGCUAACUACGUGCCAGCAGCCGCGGUAAUACGUAGGGUGCAAGCGUUAAUCGGAAUUACUGGGCGUAAAGCGUGCGCAGGCGGUUCGGAAAGAAAGAUGUGAAAUCCCAGAGCUUAACUUUGGAACUGCAUUUUUAACUACCGGGCUAGAGUGUGUCAGAGGGAGGUGGAAUUCCGCGUGUAGCAGUGAAAUGCGUAGAUAUGCGGAGGAACACCGAUGGCGAAGGCAGCCUCCUGGGAUAACACUGACGCUCAUGCACGAAAGCGUGGGGAGCAAACAGGAUUAGAUAC